This 423-nucleotide ribosomal RNA is filed under the name uncultured marine bacterium. RNAcentral describes it as "bacterial SSU rRNA". It matches the Rfam family "Bacterial small subunit ribosomal RNA", at positions 958 to 1380 of the family's 1533-position model. The record is from RNAcentral.
AACGCGAAGAACCUUACCUGGCCUUGACAUGUACCGAAUUUAGCAGAGAUGCUUUAGUGCUCGAAAGAGAACGGUAACACAGGUGCUGCAUGGCUGUCGUCAGCUCGUGUCGUGAGAUGUUGGGUUAAGUCCCGCAACGAGCGCAACCCUUGCCAUUAAUUGCCAUCAUUUAGUUGGGCACUUUAAUGGGACUGCCGGUGACAAACCGGAGGAAGGUGGGGAUGACGUCAAGUCCUCAUGGCCCUUAUGGCCAGGGCUUCACACGUAAUACAAUGGUCGGUACAGAGGGAAGCCAACCCGCGAGGGGGAGCCAAUCUCAGAAAGCCGGUCGUAGUCCGGAUUGUCGUCUGCAACUCGACAGCAUGAAGUCGGAAUCGCUAGUAAUCGCGGAUCAGCAUGUCGCGGUGAAUACGUUCCCGGGUC